This 467-nucleotide ribosomal RNA is filed under the name uncultured bacterium. RNAcentral's name for it is "partial 16S ribosomal RNA". It matches the Rfam family "Bacterial small subunit ribosomal RNA", at positions 28 to 523 of the family's 1533-position model. The record is from RNAcentral.
GAUGAACGCUGGCGGCGUGCCUAACACAUGCAAGUUGAGCGGCAGCGCGAGUAGUUUACUACUUGGCGGCGAGCGGCGGACGGCUGAGUAACGCGUGGGAACGUGCCCCAAAGUGAGGGAUAACUUCGAGAAAUCGGAGCUAAUACCGCAUAGUAUCUUCGGAUUAAAGAAUUUAUUCGCUUUGGGAGCGGCCCGCGUCGGAUUAGGUAGUUGGUGAGGUAAAGGCUCACCAAGCCGACGAUCCGUAGCUGGUCUGAGAGGAUGACCAGCCAGACUGGAACUGAUACACGGUCCAGACUCCUACGGGAGGCAGCAGUGAGGAAUCUUCCACAAUGGGCGAAAGCCUGAUGGAGCAACGCCGCGUGCAGGAUGAAGGCCUUCGGGUUGUAAACUGCUUUUAUAAGUGAAGAAUAUGACGGUAACUUAUGAAUAAGGAUCGGCUAACUACGUGCCAGCAGCCGCGGUAA